RNAcentral lists this ribosomal RNA (301 nucleotides) under uncultured bacterium. Its description in RNAcentral is "partial 16S ribosomal RNA". It matches the Rfam family "Bacterial small subunit ribosomal RNA", at positions 509 to 807 of the family's 1533-position model. The record is from RNAcentral.
CAGUCGCCGCGGGAAUACGAAGGGUGCAAGCGUUAAUCGGAAUUACUGGGCGUAAAGCGCACGCAGGCGGUCUGUCAAGUCAGAUGUAAAAUCCCCGGGCUUAACCUGAGAACUGCAUUUGAAACUGGCAGGCUAGAGUCUUGUAGAGGGGGGUAGAACUCCAGGUGUAGCGGUGAAAUGCGUAGAGGUCUGGAGGAAUACCGGCGGCGAAGGCGGCCCCCUGGACAAAGACUGACGCUGAGGUGCGAAAGCGUGGGGAGCAAACAGGAUUAGAUACCCCUGUAGUCCCUGUCUCUUAUAC